UACAGAGGGGGCAAGCGUUGUUCGGAAUUACUGGGCGUAAAGGGCGCGUAGGCGGCCUGCUAAGUCGAACGUGAAAUCCCCGGGCUCAACCCGGGAACUGCGUCCGAUACUGGUUGGCUUGAAUCCGGGAGAGGGAUGCGGAAUUCCAGGUGUAGCGGUGAAAUGCGUAGAUAUCAGGAGGAACACCGGUGGCGAAAGCGCUCAUCUGGCCCAAUACUGACGCUGAGGCGCGAAAGCUAGGGGAGCAAACGGG
This 253-nucleotide ribosomal RNA is filed under the name uncultured bacterium. Its description in RNAcentral is "partial 16S ribosomal RNA". It matches the Rfam family "Bacterial small subunit ribosomal RNA", at positions 524 to 776 of the family's 1533-position model. The record is from RNAcentral.